This 444-nucleotide ribosomal RNA is filed under the name uncultured bacterium. RNAcentral describes it as "SSU rRNA". It matches the Rfam family "Bacterial small subunit ribosomal RNA", at positions 26 to 518 of the family's 1533-position model. The record is from RNAcentral.
AGAACGAACGCUGGCGGCAGGCUUAACACAUGCAAGUCGAGCGAGGACUUCGGUCCUAGCGGCGGACGGGUGAGUAACACGUGGGAACGCGCCCUUCGGUUCGGAAUAACUCAGGGAAACUUGAGCUAAUACCGGAUACGCCCUUACGGGGAAAGAUUUAUUGCCGAAGGAACGGCCCGCGUCCGAUUAGCUAGUUGGUGAGGUAAUGGCUCACCAAGGCGACGAUCGGUAGCUGGUCUGGGAGGAUGACCAGCCUCACUGGGACUGAGACACGGCCCAGACUCCUACGGGAGGCAGCAGUGGGGAAUAUUGGACAAUGGGCGCAAGCCUGAUCCAGCCAUGCCGCGUGAGUGAUGAAGGCCUUAGGGUUGUAAAGCUCUUUUAGCAGGAAGAUAAUGACGGUACCUGCAGAAAACGCCCGGCUAACUUCGUGCCAGCAGCCGC